RNAcentral lists this ribosomal RNA (252 nucleotides) under Butyricimonas paravirosa. RNAcentral's name for it is "partial 16S ribosomal RNA". It matches the Rfam family "Bacterial small subunit ribosomal RNA", at positions 524 to 776 of the family's 1533-position model. The record is from RNAcentral. Lineage: Bacteria; Pseudomonadati; Bacteroidota; Bacteroidia; Bacteroidales; Odoribacteraceae.
UACGGAGGAUGCGAGCGUUAUCCGGAUUUAUUGGGUUUAAAGGGCGCGUAGGCGGGACGCCAAGUCAGCGGUAAAAGACUGCAGCUAAACUGUAGCACGCCGUUGAAACUGGCGACCUGGAGACGAGACGAGGGAGGCGGAACAAGUGAAGUAGCGGUGAAAUGCUUAGAUAUCACGAAGAACUCCGAUUGCGAAGGCAGCUCACUGGACUGCAACUGACACUGAUGCUCGAAAGUGUGGGUAUCAAACAGG